Molecule: long non-coding RNA, 1269 nt
Filed under: Homo sapiens (human)
Lineage: Eukaryota; Metazoa; Chordata; Mammalia; Primates; Hominidae
Description: HSALNT0292591
Source: RNAcentral
AAAUUUUCUUUUUUUGUUGUGUCUCUGCCAGGUUUUGGUAUCAGGAUGAUGCAGACCUCAUAAAAUGUGUUAGGGAGGAGUCCUUCUUUUUCUAGUGUUUGGAAUAUUUUUAGAAGGAAUGGUACCAGCUCUUCUUUGUACCUCUAGUAGAAUUCGGCUCUGAAUUUGGUUCCACUCUCCCCAUCACUUUCAGGUACACCAACCAAAGAAGCUCUCAUGGAAGAAAAAAGAAAAGCCCCAUAGGUGAAGGGGAGUGUGCCUGCCAAGUUCCUUGUAAUAACUUCACACGCAGAGUAUUUUCUGAAAUGGAUCUGCUAGAGUCAUCUCAUGGAAUCUUCUCAUUCUUCUGGAGUCUCCUCAUUUUACAGGAAAAACAUCCAGGCAAGUGGACAGCAUUUGCAACAGCCCAGCAAUAAGAAGGACCAUAUUCUACUUGGGAAAAGGUAAAGUCGUUUCAUAUGGACGGAGCCUGCCAGGAAACCUGUCAUUCAACCCUUUGCAAUAAAACAGCUCCUCAUGAAUGAAGCAAAAUAAAUCAGAAGUUGUGGGCUUUUAAACUCACUAAAUGAAAGCACAGCAUGCAUGCAGCCUCCCUCCAAAUUAAUCACCAGAUUAAAUGCAAGAUGUGCACACCAAAUCAAUAGCUUGUGACGGGGACCUCCUGCCUGUGCUUCAGGAAAAUUCCAUUUCCUUUCAGAUGUUGUCGCUUGAAAUGUCAGGAAGUUUCCAUUCAUCACCCGCCCUUGAAAAUGCCACCAUCACCAUACUUCAUGUUUCCUUGCUUUCUUUCUUCAGAGGAAUCCAAGCACCUUGCAGAGGGAGCCCACUCCUUGUCACAGACUCUCCUGGAGGCUGAAACAGGGGCAGUCUGCACAGAGGAGAGGUGUAGAGAGGCGCGAUUUAGAAAUAAGAAAACCAAAUCGUAAAGAAGCCUAAUGUCUUGUUGCAACAUCUGAAAGAAACAAGAUGAAUAUAUUCCACUAGGUGGGAAGCUUAGGGUAGUGGGAAGAACAUGGAUUCAGGACUUUGAGAAACAUGGAUUUAAAUUUUGAUCCCCAAUGCCUCUCUGCACUUCACUGUUAUCUAUAAAAUAGAGGAAAUAAAAAUACUAUACAUUCAAGUCUUAACACCAACAGUUAACUAGUUGUGUAACCUUGGACAAGUUAUGUGACCUCUCUGUCUGAGCAUUGUCAUUUGUAUAUGAGAUCAUGGAGGUUAAAUGUCCAACCUGUUGUCACUGUGCACCUCAAAAUAAUAAAUAAAACAUUU